RNAcentral lists this ribosomal RNA (450 nucleotides) under Anguilla pacifica (Indian short-finned eel). RNAcentral's name for it is "partial 16S ribosomal RNA". It matches the Rfam family "Bacterial large subunit ribosomal RNA", at positions 1938 to 2519 of the family's 2925-position model. The record is from RNAcentral. Lineage: Eukaryota; Metazoa; Chordata; Actinopteri; Anguilliformes; Anguillidae.
UAUCCUGACCGUGCGAAGGUAGCGUAAUCAUUUGUCUUUUAAAUAGAGACCUGUAUGAAUGGCAUAACGAGGGUUUAACUGUCUCCCUCCCCUAGUCAAUGAAAUUGAUCUGCCCGUGCAGAAGCGGACAUAAAUACAUAAGACGAGAAGACCCUAUGGAGCUUUAGACAAAAGAUCAAACAUGUAAAGAAACCAAACUAACCAAAAGGAACACAAAGGCCACAAAACCCGACGUAAAAUGAUCCAAAUGUCUUCGGUUGGGGCGACCAUGGGGGAAAGAAAAACCCCCACGAGGAACCAGGGGCAAUCCAUUAAGCCAAGAGAUACACCUCUAAGCAACAGAAAAUCUGACCAAAAAUGACCCAGGACACUAAUCCUGAUCAACGAACCAAGUUACCCUAGGGAUAACAGCGCAAUCCUUUCCCAGAGUCCAUAUCGACGAAAGGGUUU